CAGGGAAUCUUGCGCAAUGGGCGAAAGCCUGACGCAGCGACGCCGCGUGAGGGAAGAAGGCCUGCGGGUUGUAAACCUCUUUUCGGGGGGAAGAAGUUCUGACGGUACCCUCGGAAUAAGCCUCGGCUAACUACGUGCCAGCAGCCGCGGUAAUACGUAGGAGGCGAGCGUUGUCCGGAUUCACUGGGCGUAAAGGGAGCGCAGGCGGCCGGGUCCGUCGGCGGUGCAAGCUCCAGGCUCAACUUGGAGAGGUCCGCCGAUACCACUCGGCUUGAGGGCGGUAGAGGAGCACGGAAUUCCUGGUGUAGUGGUGAAAUGCGUAGAUAUCAGGAGGAACACCUGAGGCGAAAGCGGUGCUCUGGGCCGGCCCUGACGUUCAGGCUCGAAAGCGUGGGGAGCAAACCGGAUUAGAUACCCCCGUAGUCC
RNAcentral lists this ribosomal RNA (426 nucleotides) under uncultured prokaryote. RNAcentral describes it as "bacterial SSU rRNA". It matches the Rfam family "Bacterial small subunit ribosomal RNA", at positions 355 to 796 of the family's 1533-position model. The record is from RNAcentral.